CGGUAUGCUUAACACAUGCAAGUCGAACGGUAGCAGGCCUUCGGGCGCUGACGAGUGGCGGACGGGUGAGUAACGCGUAGGAAUCUGCCUCAUAGUGGGGGACAACGUGGGGAAACUCACGCUAAUACCGCGUACGCCCUACGGGGGAAAGCGGGGGAUCUUCGGACCUCGCGCUAUGAGAUGAGCCUGCGUUAGAUUAGCUAGUUGGUAGGGUAAAGGCCUACCAAGGCGACGAUCUAUAGCUGGUCUGAGAGGACGAUCAGCCACACUGGGACUGAGACACGGCCCAGACUCCUACGGGAGGCAGCAGUGGGGAAUAUUGGACAAUGGGCGAAAGCCCGAUCCAGCAAUACCGCGUGUGUGAAGAAGGCCCUAGGGUUGUAAAGCACUUUCAAUUGGGAGGAAAACCUACCGGUCAAUACCCGGUAGCUUGACAUUACCUUUAGAAGAAGCACCGGSUAAC
RNAcentral lists this ribosomal RNA (463 nucleotides) under uncultured bacterium. RNAcentral describes it as "bacterial SSU rRNA". It matches the Rfam family "Bacterial small subunit ribosomal RNA", at positions 40 to 501 of the family's 1533-position model. The record is from RNAcentral.